This 1373-nucleotide ribosomal RNA is filed under the name uncultured bacterium. RNAcentral's name for it is "bacterial SSU rRNA". It matches the Rfam family "Bacterial small subunit ribosomal RNA", at positions 28 to 1381 of the family's 1533-position model. The record is from RNAcentral.
GAUGAACGCUGGCGGCGUGCCUAAUACAUGCAAGUCGAGCGAACGGACGAGAAGCUUGCUUCUCUGAUGUUAGCGGCGGACGGGUGAGUAACGCGUGGAUAACCUACCUAUAAGACUGGGAUAACUUCGGGAAACCGGAGCUAAUACCGGAUAAUAUUUUGAACCGCAUGGUUCAAAGGUGAAAGACGGUCUUGCUGUCACUUAUAGAUGGAUCCGCGCUGCAUUAGCUAGUUGGUAAGGUAACGGCUUACCAAGGCAACGAUGCAUAGCCGACCUGAGAGGGUGAUCGGCCACACUGGAACUGAGACACGGUCCAGACUCCUACGGGAGGCAGCAGUAGGGAAUCUUCCGCAAUGGGCGAAAGCCUGACGGAGCAACGCCGCGUGAGUGAUGAAGGUCUUCGGAUCGUAAAACUCUGUUAUUAGGGAAGAACAUAUGUGUAAGUAACUGUGCACAUCUUGACGGUACCUAAUCAGAAAGCCACGGCUAACUACGUGCCAGCAGCCGCGGUAAUACGUAGGUGGCAAGCGUUAUCCGGAAUUAUUGGGCGUAAAGCGCGCGUAGGCGGUUUUUUAAGUCUGAUGUGAAAGCCCACGGCUCAACCGUGGAGGGUCAUUGGAAACUGGAAAACUUGAGUGCAGAAGAGGAAAGUGGAAUUCCAUGUGUAGCGGUGAAAUGCGCAGAGAUAUGGAGGAACACCAGUGGCGAAGGCGACUUUCUGGUCUGUAACUGACGCUGAUGUGCGAAAGCGUGGGGAUCAAACAGGAUUAGAUACCCUGGUAGUCCACGCCGUAAACGAUGAGUGCUAAGUGUUAGGGGGUUUCCGCCCCUUAGUGCUGCAGCUAACGCAUUAAGCACUCCGCCUGGGGAGUACGACCGCAAGGUUGAAACUCAAAGGAAUUGACGGGGACCCGCACAAGCGGUGGAGCAUGUGGUUUAAUUCGAAGCAACGCGAAGAACCUUACCAAAUCUUGACAUCCUUUGACAACUCUAGAGAUAGAGCCUUCCCCUUCGGGGGGGCAAAGUGACAGGUGGUGCAUGGUUGUCGUCAGCUCGUGUCGUGAGAUGUUGGGUUAAGUCCCGCAACGAGCGCAACCCUUAAGCUUAGUUGCCAUCAUUAAGUUGGGCACUCUAAGUUGACUGCCGGUGACAAACCGGAGGAAGGUGGGGAUGACGUCAAAUCAUCAUGCCCCUUAUGAUUUGGGCUACACACGUGCUACAAUGGACAAUACAAAGGGCAGCGAAACCGCGAGGUCAAGCAAAUCCCAUAAAGUUGUUCUCAGUUCGGAUUGUAGUCUGCAACUCGACUACAUGAAGCUGGAAUCGCUAGUAAUCGUAGAUCAGCAUGCUACGGUGAAUACGUUCCCGGGUCU